UGAGUUCGUUCGGGAGAAUGUUCCUGCAGUUUGGACUUUGUGGAGCUCUGUCAGCGUCUCCAGCUGCUGUGAAAACUCUCCCAUCAGAGCGCUGACUGCCAGAGCUUCUGCAACACUGCCGCCUGCUGCUGACUGGCAGCUCUGCAGCUCACACUGGGUUUCUGCUCUCACGUCACACUGACGUUUCUGGAUUUGGAUUUGAAAGUAUGAGGAUGUGACGGCUGUCGGUCAGAUGAACACAGACACCAGCAGCGUCUGUCAGCGUCUGCAGACGAAGAUAGAAAGUCUCUUUGACCUCAUCUGGACGUGACUUUAACAGGAAGCCACGAUGACGCCAGAGGACCUUUUGAACACUCUGGAAAAUUUAAAGAAGGAGGAAUUCACAAAGUUCAAAUGGUUUCUGCAGCAGCCGGACAUCCUGGAAGGCUACCAACCCAUCAAAGUGUCCGAGCUGGAGGAGGCAGACAGGUUGAAAACAGUGAAUCUGAUGGUGAACACCUAUAAACUUCAUGGAGCUCUGAAGGUGACCAAGAAGGUUUUAGAGAAGGUACCCAGGAACGAUCUGGUGCAGAGUCUGUCAGACACCAGCUCAGGACCAGAAGGUCAGUCACAGUUUUUUUUGUACAACU
Long non-coding RNA from Siniperca chuatsi (mandarin fish), 629 nucleotides. RefSeq lists it as uncharacterized. NCBI's taxonomy places the organism in Eukaryota, Metazoa, Chordata, Actinopteri, Centrarchiformes, Sinipercidae. The record is from RefSeq and is a predicted model, not a curated record. The transcript has 3 exons.